GAAUACCGGUGGCGAAGGCGGCCCCCUGGACAAAGACUGACGCUCAGGUGCGAAAGCGUGGGGAGCAAACAGGAUUAGAUACCCUGGUAGUCCACGCCGGAAACGAUGUCGAUUUGGAGGUUGUGCCCUUGAGGCGUGGCUUCCGGAGCUAACGCGUUAAAUCGACCGCCUGGGAAGUACGGCCGCAAGGUUAAAACUCAAAUGAAUUGACGGGGGCCCGCACAAGCGGUGGAGCAUGUGGUUUAAUUCGAUGCAACGCGAAGAGCCUUACCUGGUCUUGACAUCCACAGAACUUAGCAGAGAUGCUUUGGUGCCUUCGGGAACUGUGAGACAGGUGCUGCAUGGCUGUC
RNAcentral lists this ribosomal RNA (350 nucleotides) under Klebsiella pneumoniae. Its description in RNAcentral is "bacterial SSU rRNA". It matches the Rfam family "Bacterial small subunit ribosomal RNA", at positions 704 to 1053 of the family's 1533-position model. The record is from RNAcentral. Lineage: Bacteria; Pseudomonadati; Pseudomonadota; Gammaproteobacteria; Enterobacterales; Enterobacteriaceae.